GACUACCAGCAUGAACCUCAACACCUUCUUUGCUGUUCCACUAGUGUGACCCAUGAUCGGAUACAAGUUGUCAAGGAUAAACGGUGAGAGAAUCAUGUCAGCCCACAGACAACCGAUUGACCUGUGAGUCUUCAAGCAGUAAUGAUGACUACGCCUGCCUUAAGUUCCAGUUUCCUGAACAUCAUGGCAUGUCUGCAGGAGAUUCGGUCCCCACCUGUCUUCAGUCUGGACCUAAUGACUCAGACACCAGUGUUGUCCAGGCUAAAUCGAGAGAGGAUCACCUGAUGUCAACAUACGAGUUUUCAAGAAGAACUUCCUGAACUUUGUGUCUGUGUGAGACUCUACCAUGCUGGGUGCCCUCUUCAGUCAAGUCUGGACACAGCGACUCAUUGCUCUUAAUCAACUCUGGGCAAGUGGCUAAUCUUUUGCUUAUUCAUGGGAUAUCCUUCAUGUCCACAUCCUGUUUCUUCAAGAUCUCAACAAUGCUUUGUGAGUAUACAACACAUGUGAGUGGAUCAGUUCAACCUGUUUUUCACAGAAUGUUAAUUUCUUAAGGUUUUCAUCAACGAUGGUUUGUAUCUUGUUUUACAAAAGGUGUUAUUAAGAUAUUUCCAUUUGUAAUUUACAAUAAUCAAAUGUUGACUGUAAAAUCUAUGCCAACCUAUUGUUAUACACUGUACCAUGUUUUUGCAAAGGAAUUCUGGUGACUAGUUGCCAGCAACUUCCUUUGAACUUUGUAAUAAAAUACUGUAACUGUAAUAAAGUUUACAGGAUAACUGUUGUUUUUACAAAACUUACUGUCAUGUCUUGUAUGUUCACCGUUAAUUGGAACUUUUCAAUAAAGUACCAUAAUAUAUUAUACAGUU
Long non-coding RNA from Pseudoliparis swirei, 866 nucleotides. RefSeq lists it as uncharacterized. Lineage: Eukaryota; Metazoa; Chordata; Actinopteri; Perciformes; Liparidae. The record is from RefSeq and is a predicted model, not a curated record. The transcript is spliced from 3 exons.